GAGGCUCUCGGGCGGCCCUGGCCGGGGAAGAUGAGUGGCAUGUGUCGCUUCAGCCGGCGAUAGCGGUGGGAGCGGAGGUGGAGGGGCCUGUGCGACCACCUGCGUUUGGGAAAUGGCCUCGGACAUUUCUGAAUCCAGUGGGGCUGAUUGCAAAGGAGACCCGAGGAACAGUGCCAAGUUAGACAUGGAUUACCCGCUUCGAGUCCUUUAUUGUGGAGUCUGUUCAUUACCAACAGAGUACUGUGAAUAUAUGCCUGAUGUUGCUAAACGUAGACAAUGGUUAGAGAAGAAUUUCCCAAAUGAGUUUGCAAAACUUACUGUAGAAAAUUCGCCCAAACAAGAAGCUGGAAUUAGUGAGGGUCAAGGUACAACAGGAGAAGAAGAGGAGAAGAAAAAACAGAAGAGAGGUGGAAGAGGUCAAAUAAAACAAAAAAAGAAGACUGUACCACAAAAGGUUACUAUAGUCAAAAUUCCCAGAGCAAAGAAGAAAUAUGUAACAAGAGUGUGUGGCCUUGCAACUUUCGAAAUUGAUCUUAAAGAAGCACAAAGAUAUUUUGCUCAAAAAUUCUCCUUUGGUGCCUCAGUAACUGGGGAAGAUGAAAUUAUCAUUCAGGGAGACUUUACAGAUGAUGUCAUUGAAGUCAUUCAGGAAAAAUGGCCAGAGGUAGAUGAUGACAGCAUUGAAGAUCUUGGAGAAGUAAAGAAGUGAUUUUGAAAAGGUGUCUGUAUUUAAUGACCUGAACUGAAAGUUGAUAGGCCAAGGGAAGAGAGGCCUUUUAACAACAACAACAACAACAAAAUAUAUAU
This is an RNA transcript of Carlito syrichta (Philippine tarsier), 807 nucleotides long. It is a transcript of the gene named density-regulated protein pseudogene, with no coding region annotated. NCBI's taxonomy places the organism in Eukaryota, Metazoa, Chordata, Mammalia, Primates, Tarsiidae. The record is from RefSeq and is a predicted model, not a curated record. The transcript has a single exon.